Long non-coding RNA from Drosophila guanche, 402 nucleotides. RefSeq lists it as uncharacterized. NCBI's taxonomy places the organism in Eukaryota, Metazoa, Arthropoda, Insecta, Diptera, Drosophilidae. The transcript has 3 exons. The record is from RefSeq and is a predicted model, not a curated record.
UGACUAUCGAUGGUGGUUCAUGACGCCAUGCAUGGUGUUGCAUUGGAAUGUUCUUAUAACUUAAAAAAUAUGAUGCUCAGUUUAAAGUGUGGUCGUGUCAAAUAAAUAAGAAUCGCGGCUACCAUCGCAUCUUGUGGAUUUCUCGUUUUGCGCCUAACAGCUCUAUUUCUUAUGUUUUGUGUCAAAACAAACUAAUUCAGGCCUAAGAACCAUAAAUUCUGCAUGUUUGGAAAUUCAGAAGAGCGGCACAAGGGCAAUGGAAGAAAUGUGCAGAGUUUGCAAGGGAUCGUCUGAAUCAUUCACAAACAUAUUCGACGAGCCACAAAACUGGGACACUUGCAUUGCUGACAUGAUAGCUCAGUGCACCGGGUACGAGGUUAGCCGAGGAGAUUUACUAUCAGA